RNAcentral lists this ribosomal RNA (253 nucleotides) under uncultured bacterium. Its description in RNAcentral is "partial 16S ribosomal RNA". It matches the Rfam family "Bacterial small subunit ribosomal RNA", at positions 524 to 776 of the family's 1533-position model. The record is from RNAcentral.
UACGAAGGGGGCUAGCGUUGCUCGGAAUCACUGGGCGUAAAGCGCACGUAGGCGGCUUGCUAAGUCAGGGGUGAAAUCCUGGAGCUCAACUCCAGAACUGCCUUUGAUACUGGCGAUCUCGAGUUCGGGAGAGGUGAGUGGAACUGCGAGUGUAGAGGUGAAAUUCGUAGAUAUUCGCAAGAACACCAGUGGCGAAGGCGGCUCACUGGCCCGAUACUGACGCUGAGGCACGAAAGCGUGGGGAGCAAACAGG